UGGGGAAUAUUGCACAAUGGGCGCAAGCCUGAUGCAGCCAUGCCGCGUGUAUGAAGAAGGCCUUCGGGUUGUAAAGUACUUUCAGCGGGGAGGAAGGGAGUAAAGUUAAUACCUUUGCUCAUUGACGUUACCCGCAGAAGAAGCACCGGCUAACUCCGUGCCAGCAGCCGCGGUAAUACGGAGGGUGCAAGCGUUAAUCGGAAUUACUGGGCGUAAAGCGCACGCAGGCGGUUUGUUAAGUCAGAUGUGAAAUCCUCGGGCUCAACCUGGGAACUGCAUCUGAUACUGGCAAGCUUGAGUCUCGUAGAGGGGGGUAGAAUUCCAGGUGUAGCGGUGAAAUGCGUAGAGAUCUGGGGGAAUACCGGUGGCGAAGGCGGCCCCCUGGACGAAGACUGACGCUCAGGUGCGAAAGCGUGGGGAGCAAACAGG
RNAcentral lists this ribosomal RNA (429 nucleotides) under Chloroflexota bacterium. RNAcentral describes it as "Chloroflexi bacterium partial 16S ribosomal RNA". It matches the Rfam family "Bacterial small subunit ribosomal RNA", at positions 355 to 776 of the family's 1533-position model. Lineage: Bacteria; Bacillati; Chloroflexota. The record is from RNAcentral.